GAUAUAACUUCUAAAAGAGUUCUGAUACACAAAUAAUUAUACAUAGCACAACUCUUUGUAACUAAUUUCUAAUUAACCCACACAUCAGGUGUGAAUUGAUUUUUUAGCUAAAUCGGGCAUUUAAAAAAUUUAAAUCAGUUUUUAUUUAUUGAGUAUAGGGAAAGCGUGCAAAAGUUAUGAGUACAAAAAGUUCAAAUUUUGCUAAAAAUGAACAAUUAACAUUGAUGGCAGAACAUGGUUAACAUAGCUAAAAAUCAUGGAAUAUAAAGAUGAAAGCAUCCAAACAGAUAGAAUAAGGAUUUAAUAAAAAAGCAUCUGUAAAAAGAACCCUGCAACAAUUGCAAUCAAAAUAUGAAUUAAAAAAAAAACGAUGCUCGUAAGACUUUAUUACAAUAAACAUUAAACAAAGCUAAUGGAGUAUCCAGUGAUUUGAAAGAUAAUAUUUUAUUAGCGGUAAUAAACCUUAUGAAUACCAAAGCAGCAAUUAAACUGAAAUCAGUGCCUGACUCAAACAUAAAAGUAUGUCUUGUUCUUUUUCAGUAAUGAUUUUUAUUUUAAAUUUUUUAUAAAUGUAAUGUAACAACUAAACGUAAAAAUGGUAACCUUUUGAUAAAAAACUAUAACAAAUUUAGGUCUGAUGUCAAAUUUUAUUUUGAUUUUUUAAGAAACAAUAUUAUAUCUAGAAUAGAAUUUGAUUAAUACAUUCUAGAGAUGCACUUGUUAUCAGAACUCAUUUACCAAUGCCUGAGAGAAAGGUGAUAUUAAAAAGCAAAAUGUCGAAACCGACAAUAAUGCGAAAAUAAACAAUAACGUUUUGCCACAGUGGUUCAGAAUGCACUCCUUAAAAGCAAAGGAAAACCAUAAAUGCGAAAAUUCUAAAGUUUCGGAAACGUCAAAAUUUUACUUGGAAGGCAGAACGAAAAAAGAGGAAAAGAAACAAAGGAUGGUGUUGCUAAAUUUUGAAAUAUAAAAGAUAAAAAUGGAUGGCUUAUUACUAUAGUGUUUUAUCAUAAAGUUUAGAUAUAUUCAAUACAGUAUUUUGGUUUAGAACAUUGUUUUCAAUUAUUACCCAGCAAUAAUUUGAACAACAUACAGUACAACUAUCAUACCGUGUAACAAUCUUACAAUACCACAACCAUACAGUACAACAACCAUGGUGCUAUUGGUGGCUGCAAUAUUAUAGUGAAGCAAGUCCACUUUAUCCACUUUUCCAAUAAUAGUCAAACCUGGAUAAGUAGGAAUUCUAAGGGACAUUUUUAAAUCCCAUUCUAAAGAGUUAGUGUGAUAAUAUAAAAUCCCAGCUAUGAAGACCUCAAUCCUAUACACAGAGUUCUUUGACAUCUUGUUCCAAGUAUCCAUUAAGAAAAGGUUUUAAUAUGUCAUCAUCACUGUCCACAUUUAUCACAUACAGUGAUAUUCACACCUUUUCUUAACAAUCCUCCAAAAUUCGCAUUUAAUUGAUGGUUGUACAUGAUCUUUAUGAAAUUCGUCAACAUCAAUUUGUUUGAUAUGUACCAACUUUACAAAGAAACUGUUGAUCAGCCAGUAGGACGAACGUUAUAUGAAUCUAUAUUUCAUACAUUGAAUUUAUCACUCAAGAAACCAAAAGCAGACACUUGUCAGAAGUGUGAUUCUUUACAUGUAAUUAUCUCUUAGUAGUAUGCUUGAAGAAAGACACACAAUUCAGACCGAACUAGAAACCCAUCAACAAGACGCUGAGACUGUAUAUACUUGUAAAUCUACUGUCAAAAUCAAGGCUAAAGAAGAUCCAACGUUUAUCGCUCUGGUUUAUGAUUUACAACAUCGUAUUGACAAACAAGUAUUGCAUUUUAUAAAAGACAAUUGUGGACCUUCAAUUUAAUCAUGCACAAUUUGGAAGAUGAUCAAGCAACAUGUUACAUGUGGCAUGAGUGUAUGGGAGGUCGAGGAGGAAAUCGAGUUGCUUCUUGUUUGUUUAAGCGUUUAAAUAACUUGAAUCUCCAAAUCAAAUACAUUGUCUUGUACAGUGAUACAUAUGGAGAACAAAAUAAAGAAACGCAUGUGGCAGUGAUGUUUAUAAUGCUUUUGCAACUAAAGAAUAAUAUUGAAGUUAUUGACCACCAGUUCAUAGUUUCGGGCCACACACACAUGGAAUGUGAAUCGGAUCAUUCUUUAACAGAAAGAGCUCAAAAGCAAUCAAAAUCAAUUAUGAGAAUGUAAUCUGAAAAUGUUUAUGAUUUUUCAUCUUUACUAAAAGGUUCCCUAGUUGCUUCUAAAGUUACAACAACUGAAGAAAAAUUUGUAUGGAAAGGAACUAAAUGGCUUCGAUUCCAGCAAAUUGAUUCCAAGAAAAUUUACGUCAAGAAACACCUGAGUCAGAAAAUAAUUUAAAUUAAUACAUAAUAAAAAAAAGACUUACUUUCUCUCUUGUCCUUUAUCCAUACAUAAUUCCAUGAUUUUUACAAAAACUUACAAGUUGAUAAUGUACCAAAUAUUGAUCCAGAUAUCGAAGAAAGUGAGAAUGAAGAUGUAGAUUUAUAAAAUAUGUAUGCAAUAUUUUAAUUAAAUAACAUUACUUUUGACAGUUU
Molecule: non-coding RNA, 2567 nt
Organism: Onthophagus taurus
Lineage: Eukaryota; Metazoa; Arthropoda; Insecta; Coleoptera; Scarabaeidae
Source: RefSeq, a predicted model, not a curated record